This 253-nucleotide ribosomal RNA is filed under the name uncultured bacterium. Its description in RNAcentral is "partial 16S ribosomal RNA". It matches the Rfam family "Bacterial small subunit ribosomal RNA", at positions 524 to 776 of the family's 1533-position model. The record is from RNAcentral.
UACGUAGGUGGCGAGCGUUGUCCGGAAUUACUGGGUGUAAAGGGCGUGUAGGCGGGGAUGUAAGUCAGAUGUGAAAUCCCAUGGCUCAACUGUGGGGCUGCAUCUGAAACUAUGUCUCUUGAGUGCCGGAGAGGGAAGCGGAAUUCCUAGUGUAGCGGUGAAAUGCGUAGAUAUUAGGAGGAACACCAGUGGCGAAGGCGGCUUUCUGGACGGUAACUGACGCUGAGGCGCGAAAGCGUGGGGAGCAAACAGG